Molecule: ribosomal RNA, 253 nt
Filed under: uncultured bacterium
Lineage: Bacteria
Description: partial 16S ribosomal RNA
Rfam family: Bacterial small subunit ribosomal RNA
Source: RNAcentral
UACAGGGGGGGCAAGCGUUGUUCGGAAUUACUGGGCGUAAAGGGCUCGUAGGCGGCCAACUAAGUCGGACGUGAAAUCCCCAGGCUCAACCUGGGAACUGCGUCCGAGACUGGAAGGCUCGAAUUCGGGAGAGGGAUGCAGAAUUCCAGGUGUAGCGGUGAAAUGCGUAGAUAUCUGGAGGAAUACCGGUGGCGAAGGCGGCAUCCUGGACCGACAUUGACGCUGAUGAGCGAAAGCUAGGGGAGCAAACAGG